This 35-nucleotide small nucleolar RNA is filed under the name Myotis lucifugus (little brown bat). Lineage: Eukaryota; Metazoa; Chordata; Mammalia; Chiroptera; Vespertilionidae. The record is from RNAcentral.
UGAUGAAUGAAAUCAAAUCACCAUCUUUCGGCUGA